GACGAACGCUGGCGGCGUGCUUAACACAUGCAAGUCGAGCGGAAAGGCCCUUCGGGGUACUCGAGCGGCGAACGGGUGAGUAACACGUGAGCAACCUGCCCUGGACUUUGGGAUAACCCUCGGAAACGGGGGCUAAUACCGGAUACGACUACUGGCCGCAUGGUUGGUGGUGGAAAGUUUUUCGGUCUGGGAUGGGCUCGCGGCCUAUCAGCUUGUUGGUGGGGUGAUGGCCUACCAAGGCGACGACGGGUAGCCGGCCUGAGAGGGCGACCGGCCACACUGGGACUGAGACACGGCCCAGACUCCUACGGGAGGCAGCAGUGGGGAAGUAUUGCACAAUGGGCGCAAGCCUGAUGCAGCGACGCCGCGUGGGGGAUGACGGCCU
RNAcentral lists this ribosomal RNA (385 nucleotides) under uncultured bacterium. RNAcentral describes it as "bacterial SSU rRNA". It matches the Rfam family "Bacterial small subunit ribosomal RNA", at positions 28 to 417 of the family's 1533-position model. The record is from RNAcentral.